Molecule: long non-coding RNA, 2124 nt
Organism: Cephus cinctus (wheat stem sawfly)
Lineage: Eukaryota; Metazoa; Arthropoda; Insecta; Hymenoptera; Cephidae
Exons: 4
Source: RefSeq, a predicted model, not a curated record
UAUUCAUUCGGCAGAAGUUGAGAAUCCUGACGCAGGUACCGUCAGAGUUCUCUUCUCCAGUUACCGCUGAGCGAAUUUCGCCAAGAGCACUCGAGGGGUUUUAUACAGUGGCCAGCCUGGAGAACCACUCGGUGUAUAUGGAGGAGCCAUGUUGUUGGGUUGUUGGCGUCGCUCUAGACCUGGGGGAUACGUGUAGCGGGUGAACGAGCCACAUUUACAUGUGGCCGUAAUAAUGGACAAAGUUUCAAGUGCGUCGCGGUUGCUGCCGAAGUGGGCAUUGUUGGCCCACAUGGUAGUUCCGAACAAACGGGGCCCGAUCGACUCUGCAUAAGGAACACACGGUUUAAGUUUUUCGUGCGCCAAAUGAUAUUGUCCAGAAGAAUUCUUUUGGGGUACGUUAAAGGGGUAACCGGAAGAAAAGUAUCAAACGCAGGAUCAUACUAGAUACGUAUCGUCAUUAUGUUAUUGUUCUCAUUAGGGAUGUCUACCUAUGGACCACGGUUAACAAUCCCACUUGAUUCCGUCAUUGGCGACGGAGUUCCUGAAUGAGUUCGUAACGAGAUGCACAGCCAGAGGGCUGGCCCACGCCUGUCAGGGGUUGCCUGCACGUGUCCUCAAUGGACCAAUCAAAGCUCACCCUCUUCUAGCCCACUGGCUUACGUAUAUUAGGCUAAUGUUACGUCCUACUCGUUCGUCGACGUUUAUCAGUGAGGAUCCUUUCUGAAGUGAUGGACCACACUUGGCUUCAGAAAAUAAGGGAUGAAAUUUACUUAUACGGUGCAAGAUCAUGGUACGCGUGGCUGAUCAAACCUUUGAAAGGAUCACGAAGGCGUACAAUUGUAAAUCCGCUAAAGGGGGUUGUUCGCUACCCCGUAAACAUAAGGGUGAUUUAAUUCGGCCUGUUGAGCUUUGAAGAUCCAAAAAUCCAUAAUGCCCAAUGGGUCUGUUGUGGCACCCUGGAGAACUUCGGUGGUAAGUCGUACGACUAGCUGAAGUGGGAACUGUAGAACUUCGCACGUUACCCAACGAGCGUUUAAUCGUCGUUUUGUUCGACGAAUAAAAGAGCCAGAUUACGAUACAGUCUGCGCGUAAUCAAUGGGAACGAGCAUAUUAGGUCGUCCCAUAAAUUAUUUCUUCACCCCAUAGAUACGCCUGACGUUCACCCUCGUUGGAUGAUACAAAAAAGACAUAAAGUUGCGCUAGCCGUGGCCGAGCAUGGAAACCAACAGAACCAACCGCCAUCGUUACAACACUCAACAACGUCUCUGGACUUACCAGCAGGUCUUGUAACAUCACAAACCCCCGGAGGACUACGUACCAGCCGAGGAAGAUCCAGUUGGGGGAACCGAAAGGAAGUUGAAGAAAAAAGUCCCCAAACAAAACAAAACCCAAUUCUUAACGAGCGUCCCAGCGGUGGAAAAAGAUUCCAAAAAAUAAUACUGAAACAGUACUCGAACCGAUAGUAAAGUACCAUAAAGAAUUCUGCAUACAAGUACCAGUGGUACCAGAACCACCCCAUAAGAAAUACUACUAGUAUCAAAGCCGAUGUUGUUAUACAAUAGUAUCCAAUACCAGUGCCAAGUGCUGUAGUAUUUGCUAUAGUAGAAAGGAGAGUUACUGUACCGUUAUACACGGGGACACGUUACAUGCAGCACUCAUAGAAAUAGGGUAGGGUAUAAAAAAAGAAAGGAAGGGGUGGAAAUAUCUCCACCCCUCUCUUCCUUGUCAAAGAAUAAAAUUCUCUUUCUCUUAUACCAGACGAUAGCAUUAGGGGGCAUUACGUUUAAAUACACUUAGGAUCAAUGACUAUGGCUUGACGCAAGGCAAAAGCGGCCUCUCGUUUGUUGACUGCGGAAUAGCAUUAGCAAUAGCCCAAUUGACUGCAUCUGUUGACUAACUGACUUGACUGACUGACUGACUGGACCGGUCACCGGGUGACCUCGCUCUUAUCAAAUGCGUUGAUGCAAUAAAUGUCGAGAGGUUGAUUUGUUAUGUAUUUACGUAGUUACAUGCGAGAGGGUGGUGCGCUGUGCGGCAAAGAACUUGUUAGGAGUACUUUUAUAUUUUAUUAUUGCAUACGUAGUAUACGCACUUGUUGCGUAAUACGUGGUUAUGGGUUUUGAG